Molecule: ribosomal RNA, 403 nt
Filed under: uncultured bacterium
Lineage: Bacteria
Description: partial 16S ribosomal RNA
Rfam family: Bacterial small subunit ribosomal RNA
Source: RNAcentral
AUUGAACGCUGGCGGCAGGCCUAACACAUGCAAGUCGAGCGAGCGGCGGACGGGUGAGUAAUGUAUGGGGACUGCCCGAUAGAGGGGGAUAAAUACUUGAAACCGUAGCUAAUACCCCAUAUUAUCGGAUGACCCCUCUGGGAAUGGCUAGUCGGUGAGGUAAUGGCUCACCUAGGCGACGAUCCCUAGCUGGUCUGCGAGGAUGAUCAGGCGCACUGGGACAGAGAGACGGCCCAGAGUCCUACGGAGGUAGCAAGGGGGAAUAUGGCACAAUGGGCGCAAGCCUGAUGCAGCCAUGCCGCGUGUAUGAAGAAGGCCUUAGGGUUGUAAGGUACUUACAGUCGGGAGGGGUUACCGAGAGAAGAAGCACCGGCUAACUACGUGCCAGCAGCCGCGGUAAUAC